UUGGAGAGAUGCAAGCGAGAGAGUGAGCGAGCGAGCAUUGAAGAUACUGCCAGCUCGAGAUGAGGAAGUCCAGCCGGGGGAGGGUGAGCGAGAACCGUUAAAGGAGUCACAGAGAGAGUUUGCUUGACCUUCAAAGCCUAAUUGAUAGGCUUUUCAUAGACCUUGUUUGAGAUGUGCGUGGUCCCUGUUGUUCGGCAGACCCUUACAACUCCUGGAGAAGUACAAAGUCAACUGCAGCAUUACACCAAGAAGUUGUCCAACAGUAUCACGCUGUCUGCUGUAUCAGUCGGUUCAGUGGUUUCUCCCUUCGGCCCUGCAGACUGUGGACACUAGCCAUCAGUUAAGGAGUCCUGGACUCGCGUUCCUUUCCACUGCUGUCGUUCCCAAGAGCCCUGCACAAAUCAGAAACCUGGGUUUGAAAAAGUUGGGUUUGUGGACUUUGGAAAGGA
Long non-coding RNA from Triplophysa rosa, 449 nucleotides. RefSeq lists it as uncharacterized. The record is from RefSeq and is a predicted model, not a curated record. Lineage: Eukaryota; Metazoa; Chordata; Actinopteri; Cypriniformes; Nemacheilidae. The transcript is spliced from 3 exons.